RNAcentral lists this ribosomal RNA (377 nucleotides) under uncultured eukaryote. Its description in RNAcentral is "partial 18S ribosomal RNA". It matches the Rfam family "Eukaryotic small subunit ribosomal RNA", at positions 592 to 975 of the family's 1831-position model. The record is from RNAcentral.
CAAUAGCGUAUAUUUAGGUUGUUGCAGUUAAAAAGCUCGUAGUUGGAUUUCGGGUGGGACGCAGCGGUCUCGCAUUGCGUUUGUACUGCUGCAGCCCUCCUUCUUGCCGGGGGCGGCCUCUCGGACUUCACUGUCUGGGGGUCAGAAUCGGCGAUGUUACUUUGAGUAAAUUAGAGUGUUCAAAGCAAGCUUACGCUCUGAAUAUAAUAGCAUGGGAUAACACGACAGGACUCUGGCCUAUCGUGUUGGUCUAUAGGACCAGAGUAAUGAUUAAGAGGGACAGUCGGGGGCAUUCGUAUUCCGUUGUCAGAGGUGAAAUUCUUGGAUUUACGGAAGACGAACAUCUGCGAAAGCAUUUGCCAAGGAUGUUUUCAUUG